GUAUAUUUCAUUUCAGUAACAUAUCACAUCAAAUAAAAUACAUCAUCCACCGACUCCAUGCAUUAAGGUUCAACGCCUAACAAGUGCACAUCACAAUAAUUUUACAUGUGCACAACAGAAUACUUCUGCAAGUGCAAGUGCACAAAAAAAGGACCCAACAAAUGCAUAAUCGCACAUAAAGAGAGUUCCACAAAGAUUGGGUGAGAACCACAAGUUUCUUCUCAUCCUCUUCCUCUACACAAUAUUCAACUCUU
Molecule: long non-coding RNA, 254 nt
Filed under: Hordeum vulgare
Lineage: Eukaryota; Viridiplantae; Streptophyta; Magnoliopsida; Poales; Poaceae
Description: long non-coding RNA (HVUL_LNC021709)
Source: RNAcentral